This 324-nucleotide ribosomal RNA is filed under the name uncultured eukaryote. Its description in RNAcentral is "partial 18S ribosomal RNA". It matches the Rfam family "Eukaryotic small subunit ribosomal RNA", at positions 1470 to 1796 of the family's 1831-position model. The record is from RNAcentral.
CCCUUAGAUGUUCUGGGCUGCACGCGCGCUACACUGAUGCGCUCAACGAGUUUUAACCUUGCCUGGAAAGGUUGGGUAAUCUUUUUAAAACGCAUCGUGAUAGGGAUAGACUAUUGCAAUUAUUGGUCUUCAACGAGGAAUUCCUAGUAGACGUAGUUCAUCAGACUGCAUCGAUUACGUCCCUGCCCUUUGUACACACCGCCCGUCGCUCCUACCGAUUGAAUGCUCAGGUGAGCCAUUCGGACUUUCAUCAUGCUGGUUUCCAGUUUUGAUGAAGGAAAGUCUUGCGAACCUUAUCAUUUAGAGGAAGGAGAAGUCGUAACA